This 394-nucleotide RNase P RNA is filed under the name marine eukaryotic metagenome. Its description in RNAcentral is "Bacterial RNase P class A". It matches the Rfam family "Bacterial RNase P class A". From Rfam's summary of the family: Ribonuclease P (RNase P) is a ubiquitous endoribonuclease, found in archaea, bacteria and eukarya as well as chloroplasts and mitochondria. The record is from RNAcentral.
GAUGGCUGGAUGACCGCUGCCACCAACGGAGAAAUCCGGUGGGAGAGGAAAGUCCGGGCUCCACAGGAUCAGGAUGCCGGGUAACGCCCGGCGGGGGUGACCCCAGGGAAAGUGCCGCAGAAAACAAACCGCCCAUACGCCCCACGGGACGUAUGCUGGUAAGGGUGAAAAGGUGCGGUAAGAGCGCACCGCCAGGCUGGUAACAGGCUGGGCAUGGUAAACCCCAUCCGGAGCAAGACCAUGUAGGGACACAUGCCGCGUGCGGCUGGUGCGAUCCUGCACUGAUGUCCGGGUAGGUCGCUUGAGGCGGCUGGCAACAGCCCGCACUAGAUGAAUGGUCAUCACCCUCUGCGUCAUGCAGGCGGGACACAGAACCCGGCUUACAGGCCAUCUG